Molecule: non-coding RNA, 4191 nt
Organism: Monodelphis domestica (gray short-tailed opossum)
Lineage: Eukaryota; Metazoa; Chordata; Mammalia; Didelphimorphia; Didelphidae
Source: RefSeq, a predicted model, not a curated record
ACCUAGGUUUAAAGCGAGAAAGAAACAGUCAGCAGAAUCUCCUCACCAGAGCUGACGGAAGCCAUUCGACAGGAGGGUUGGCCCCGACACGUCAAGGAAUCCGUGUGCCGGCAGGACUCGCCCCGGCUUCCCGCGGCUCUCUGUCCUGAGGAGCCCUGUGGGAAACCCCGCCCUCAGAGCGAGGGAGGCGGUACCCGGCACUUUCCAGGCUUUGCCCCUCGCCCCGAUGGCCACGAGAGGGCGCUGCGAUCACUCAGAGCACGUAAGGCGCGAAGAGACAAGUGGCAAACGCGCUAUCGCGGUCUGAGCACUAGCGGGUGAAUUCGAGCUCGCUCCAGCCUGUGCUGCCGGCUCACUAGCUAACCGGGGCGAUGGGACAAAGCAUGCGGGGAAACGCUUGUGGCCUCCCGAGGGCGUCACUUAGGAACACGGCUCCUAGGGACGAGUUGGAGCUGCCAAUGCCGUCCCAGGGAUCGCGUGAGCUUCCCACCUUAACUGCAGGCGCCACCCCAAGGCAGUUUUCUAAUUAGUCCCAAACUUCACCUCAUGAAGUCAGCACACUUUCACCAACACGUCAGCCUUUCCCACGAAGCUCGCUGACAUUUACUGCUCCAAACGGCCUCCGUGCCACUGAGCACGUCCGCCUCUGGAGCUCUGCUUUGACUUUGUGGCUGCCUGGGGCUCAGUCGCACAUUACGAACUGUCGAGGAGCAGAUUAGAAGUUCGAUCUUCCUGUCUCCAGUCCAGCAUUCUACCUACUUCGUCUGCACGGGAUGCGCACUACUCAAUUCUUUACUAGCAGCAUUUUGGAGGGCCAAAUGGGUGAUUUUAUUGGCAUUUUACCCGCUUAUCAGUGUAGCUGGGUCAUUCCUCAAACGUUUGGAGUCUUACUGGGGGCACUGAGAGGCAGCCAGCAUCGCGGUCUCUAGAACAGAACAUGCACCGCAGUUCACUCAUGGCAAAUGCCUCGUUAACUAGCGGGAACCUGACUUUUCUGUGACAAAAUCUUGUUUCGUCCUCAUUUUGGGCUUUUCCUAAUGGUAGGGAUUUUCUCCUAAUUUCAACACAGGAGAGCUUUAGUCUUCCAUAAUCCGGAACCAGAAGGCAAGAUAAAAAGAAAACAAGGAAUUCAGAGACCAGCUAAAAUGGCCCAACUGGUUCCAGAGAACUCAGGACUAGGAAUGCUCCUCUACCUCCGGAAACAGAGAGGAUGGACUCCGGCCGGGGACGAGGCACCGCCACUUUUCUGCACGCUGGCAAAGAGGGAAUUUGUUUUGUCUGGUCAGACACACUUGCUGUGGAGAGGGAGGCUUUCUGAAGCUGCUGCCAGCGCUGAGAUUCUGCGACAUCGAGAGGUCGGGCUUGGCCACUGGAUAGAAGUCAUGAGGGAAGUGAGUGUGCCAUUCAGUGUGGCUCAGAGGUCUAGACUCAACUGUAAACUCAGGAAAGCAUCCUCUGGGCUACGAGGAUCUGUGUCCAGAGCAGCACCACCACAAACAAUAUCCGGGACUAGAAGAAGUCUGUGACUCCUGAUCUAUGUUAGGGAUGGGAAGAGCCAGAACCAGAUUCAACUGUGCAAGUGUUUGUUACGCAGCCUCUGCCCAACAGGUCACUGCGGAUCUAGCGGAUCAAAAGGCACCAUUUUGGGGGGUUCUUUACCUGGCCUAGCAGUGACUUCUUUUAACCCAAGUGGCAUAAACCAUACACAACUGAUGAGACAGUGAAGUAUGCUUUGACUUGAGGUAGUUCUAAGGGAACAUACAAGGGCAGCAAAACCCAUCUUGUUCCGUGUUAAACAAAGGAACCAAGACUGAGAGAGGUUCCUGUUCUAGAUAAAGAACUUGUGACUUUAGGCAAUUGCUUAACUUCUUGGCCCAUGAUUCUAGUCGCGCUGGUCAUAAGAAAGUGGAUCACUGAAUGUUUUAGGUACAGCAAGGCUCAAGCCUCAUCACUGAGUUUAUAUCACACAUUAGCAACAGAAAGGAGGAAAAUGGGUAAGAGGGCAUCAACUACAUUUAUAGACCCGGGGUUAAAGCUUUGAAAGGAUGCAAUAGAAUGGAGUUUUCUUUUGAAACUGCAACCUGUUUUCAGGGAUCAGGCACUGGGAAGUUUGUUCAGUCCAAUAGAUGAGACUGAAACCAGCAGCCCACAGGACAUGGAAUGAGGGUGCGGCUGGGGAGGGAGGAAGCCUCACGCAGAUGAAAUGCUGCCGUUUGUAACCUUGCCAGGGACGGGGAACCCUCCGACUGGGUACCAGGAUAAAAUGAUGUCCCUAAGAUUUUACCGCAGCAAAGGGGAUAAGAACAAGCUUAAAGCACUCUGUUCAUUGUUGGUUUUCUGUCAAGGGGGCCUCGGGAUCAGGUUUUUGUUCACACAGAACUUCAGUACUCGGCUACAAACAAUCAACAACUCUAUCCAGUGGCUCAUCAGAGAUCCCUGCACGCGGGCUCUGCCAGAGCCCCAUAAUGUUAAAUGGGGGUCAUUCACGGAAUUGUGUGGCUAGGACAAUAGCGCGAUGGUUCCUGGUGAUCCCAUGACUGCUCACAUUUUCAUUCCGCAGGCCUCCUGUUGUCACCACAGCAAUGGGGCGGUGAUGCACCCGGGAACUUCUGGACUCCUUCAUAAGGCCGCUGGCUCCCGUUCUGGGCUGCUCUAGAGUCCAGGUAGGCCGAAGAAGGGCUCUCCCCGGCACGUCAGUCCCUCACUAAGGCUGGCGCUGCAGCUGGAGCUCCGAGAUGCGCACGCUAACCAGCACUGCUGCUUUGCAAGCCGCUCCGGCUCUGCGGCGGGCCUUCUGUGAACAGACACGGAUCGGGGCAGCGCGGCCCCAGGGAAGGUGCACAGCAUACACGGGCCCUCCAGCCCUGGCGUACGUUUGGGACCAACGGAAAACAAGAAUGGAGGGCCUGUACCGGCUGGUGCCGCAGCCACCAAGGCCAGCCCUGCUGGUCGGCAGCAGACCCUGCGGAUCCCCGAGCCGGCACAUGACAUUCUCCGCGAGGCCGCACUCAUUAGCGCGCCUGCAACGCCACCGAAGUGGAGAAGCGAAGCUGGUCGCUUUCGGACGCAGUAGAAGCGUCUGCAAGGCUCGCCAUCAGGACGGACGGCCCAAGUGUGAGGAAAGCAGCAGGAGGCGGGCAUGCUCAGGGGAUCGGCUGGGUCCGCAGCUACCUUGUGGAGGAGGGGAAAAGCUACUCUGAAGUCCCUCCCCAGCCCCGGGGCUCCUCCCACCUGGAGCCGUUAAAGGCGAGCCGUUCCCUCGGGCACACACUGUCUUUGUCCGGUCUCUGCCUCACCAGGCUCCGCCCCUCCCGGACAGGCUCCUUUCCCGCUGCUGUAUUCAAAGGAAGCACCUUCUGUUGCUGCUGCUAAGGAUGGCUUACUUGGACUCAAAUGGGGGCAAUAAAGGGCCCAGGAAGUGGACCAUGAAGAGGCACCUUCAGACACACAUCUCCGUCCCCAGUGGCUCCAAAGGCCGGCAUCAAACGCCUCCCGCUGUCGGUCCCUUUGACUUCUCUCCGCCCGAAAAGGUGGCACAACGCAGGCCACUGGAGCAAUGCGGCCCCUGCUCCGGGGAGGGCUUCUUCGCACCUUUCGCUUCUACGCCACACGACCAACUUCUUCCUGCUUGUCUCCAAAUGCUGAUGACACCUCAGAGUCUUCCGAAAGGGAAGAUGCAGAUGCGAUGCUUAUUAAGGGGAUGAGCUUCUCAUCGGAUUUCAUUCAGUUCUGCCACCUCCUUGACCAGGAGCCCCUUCAGAUCUAAAAUAGAGACCUUCCAGAUCCAGAAUUCGAGUCCUGCCAACAGUAGUGCCCCCCAGACCAUGCGCCCAUUUCUAGCCAGACCUCAGCCAUCAGCCAGAAAACCUGUGAAGACACAACCUGUCAACUACUUUUUCAAAGGUUCCCGGUUCUACUUCCUGAGCCGCCAUAACUUCUUAAGAUCCAGGAAAAGAAAGUUCUCCACACCGAAGUCUUUAGCACUGUUAGAUGGUUCAACCACAGAAAUGGAUACCAUCAAAGAAACGGCACCCUGCUAAGGAUAAUGAGACCUUUGGGCCUGAUUUGUGGGUGAAAGCUCCCAUUCGAAUGGGAGCUCCUGGAGGGAAGGCACUUUCUUGCUUAGGUAUGUAUCCCUAGGACUUACCUGAGUAUAUUCAUAUGUUUAAUAAACACCUUAAAUGAAUGCAA